AGGAGAUCUUGGUGGCCUCAGAUACUUCCUAGUUGUGUGACCCUGGGCAAGUCACUUAACCCCCCAUUGCCUAGCCUUUACCACAUUUCUGCCUUGGACUUGGUACUUAGUAUCCAUUCUAAGACAGAAAAUAAGGGGAAGAGAGAAAAACAGAAAGAGGAGAGACAGAGAUGGAGAGAGAGAAGAAGAAGAAGAAGAAGAAGAAGAAGAAGAAGAAGAAGAAGAAGAAGAAGAAGAAGAAGAAGAAGAAGAAAGAAAGAAAGAAAGAAAGAAAGAAAGAAAGAAAGAAAGAAAGAAAGAAAGAAAGAAAGAAAGAAAGAAAGAAAGAAAGAAAGAAAGAAAGAAAGAAAGAAAGAAAGAAAGAAAGAAAGAAAGAAAGAAAGAAAGAAAGAAAGAAAGAAAGAAAGAAAGAAAGAAAGAAAGAAAGAAAGAAAGAAAGAAAGAAAGAAAAAGAAAGAAAGAAAGAAAGAAAGAAAGAAAGAAAAAGAAAGAAAGAAAAAGAAAGAAAGAAAGAAAGAAAGAAAGAAAGAAAGAAAGAAAGAAAGAAAGAGAAAGAAAGGAAGAAAGGAAGAAAGGAAGAAAGGAAGAAAGGAAGGAAGGAAGGAAGGAAGGAAGGAAGGAAGGAAGGAAGGAAGGAAGGAAGGAAGGAAGGAAGGAAGGAAGGAAGGAAGGAAGGAAGGAAGGAAGGAAGGAAGGAAGGAAGAAAAGUAUCUGAGGUAAGAUUGAACCC
This 730-nucleotide long non-coding RNA is filed under the name Monodelphis domestica (gray short-tailed opossum). Its description in RNAcentral is "lncRNA (ENSMODG00000037123.1)". The record is from RNAcentral. Lineage: Eukaryota; Metazoa; Chordata; Mammalia; Didelphimorphia; Didelphidae.